CAUCGUAAAAUAAGAAUUUGUUAUUAACUGACUUGCCUAGUUAAAUAAAAGGUUAAAUAAAAUUGAGAACUACUCCUUUGUUCAUGAUUUUAAAUUAAAAUGAACAUAGCUCUACACCACAGUGAUAGAAAUAUGAGUAUUCUGCACUUUCUAUGCCAAAGAUCCAUUAAAUCAUAUAUGUUUUGCCCCACGGCGCCUCCCUGUGGUGUGGAGGUAAUUUCAGGGCCAUAAAAACACACCUUCACAACAUGAUGAUUAAAACAGGCAUUUAUGGUCUCCUUAAGAAACCAGCACAGAAAAACACUUCAGCGAUGACCUUUAUUAUAGCGAAAGAUGAUGACAUGAGACAUUACAAUAACCCAUCACCGAACAGUCAUUCAGGUAGGUAAACAGUCACUCAGGUGGGUAAACAGUCAUUCAGGGAUGUAAACAGUCAUUCAGGUGGGUAAACAGUCAUUCAGGUAUGUAAACAGUCAUUCAGGGAUGUAAACAGUCAUUCAGGUAGGUAAACAGUCAUUCAGGUAGGUAAACAGUCAUUCAGGUAGGUAAACAGUCAUUCAGGUAGGUAAACAGUCAUUCAGGUAGGUAAACAGUCAUUCAGGUGGGUAAACAGUCAUUCAGGUGGGUAAACAGUCAUUCAGAGAUGUAAACAGUCAUUCAGGUAGGUAAACAGUCAUUCAGGUGGGUAACAGUCAUUCAGGUAUGUAAACAGUCAUUCAGGUAUGUAAAAAGUCAUUCAGGUAGGUAAACAGUCAUUCAGGUAUGUAAACAGUCAUUCAGGUAUGUAAACAGUCAUUCAGGUAUGUAAACAGUCAUUCAGGUAUGUAAACAGUCAUUCAGGUAGGUAAACAGUCAUUCAGGUGGGUAACAGUCAUUCAGGUGGGUAAACAGUCAUUCAGGUAUGUAAACAGUCAUUCAGGUAGGUAAACAGUCAUUCAGGUAUGUAAACAGUCAUUCAGGUAUGUAAACAGUCAUUCAGGUGGGUAAACAGUCAUUCAGGUAUGUAAACAGUCAUUCAGGUGGGUAAACAGUCAUUCAGGUGGGUAAACAGUCAUUCAGGUAGGUAAACAGUCAUUCAGGUAUGUAAACAGUCAUUCAGGUAUGUAAACAGUCAUUCAGGUAGGUAAACAGUCAUUCAGGUAUGUAAACAGUCAUUCAGGUAUGUAAACAGUCAUUCAGGUAUGUAAACAGUCAUUCAGGUGGGUAAACAGUCAUUCAGGUAUGUAAACAGUCAUUCAGGUAUGUAAACAGUCAUUCAGGUAGGUAAACAGUCAUUCAGGUGGGUAAACAGUCAUUCAGGUGGGUAAACAGUCAUUCAGGUAUGUAAACAGUCAUGCAGGUGGGUAAACAGUCAUUCAAAGACGUAAACAGUCAUUCAGGUAUGUAAACAGUCAUUCAGGUAUGUAAACAGUCAUUCAGGUGGGUAAACAGUCAUUCAGAGACGUAAACAGUCAUUCAGGUAUGUAAACAGUCAUUCAGGUAUGUAAACAGUCAUUCAGGUGGGUAAACAGUCAUUCAGGUAGGUAAACAGUCAUUCAGGUAUGUAAACAGUCAUUCAGGUGGGUAAACAGUCAUUCAGGUAUGUAAACAGUCAUUCAGGUGGGUAAACAGUCAUUCAGGUGGGUAAACAGUCAUUCAGAUAUGUAAACAGUCAUUCAGGUGGGUAAACAGUCAUUCAGAGACGUAAACAGUCAUUCAGGUAUGUAGACAGUCAUUCAGGUAGGUAACAGUCAUUUAGGUAGGUAACAGUCAUUCAGGUAGGUAACAGUCAUUCAGGUAGGUAACAGUCAUUCAGGUAUGUAAGAUGGACUAAAGGCUUCUAAACUUUAGCAUCAGUAUUGUGUCCAUAAACAAAGAAGAUUCAAUGACUUCUCAAGCCAUGAUGCAGUGUAAUUGCAGUACAGAACUCUGAAUGACAUCUUAUUUUAAUGUUCCUCUUGCGAAACAACAGUUUUAAUGUCGUUGUGAAACCCUGUGAAAUAUGUCUGGAGGGCUCUAACUAACUACAGUGCUUUAUGUGCUCGGCUCUCAGCCAAGUUAUUUAAUGACCUUUUUCUCGUGGAAACGAUAGGCGAUAGGUCCCCACUUGUCCAAACGUUCCUUGUUUUACUGCCCUUGUGAAGACUUCUGGAUCAACUGAAGGGCUAGCGCUUAAGGUUAAGGUUUAGGGGUUAAGGUUAGGGUUAGGGGUUAAGGUUAGGGUUAAGGUUAGGGUUAGGGGUUAAGGUUAG
Molecule: long non-coding RNA, 2231 nt
Organism: Oncorhynchus keta (chum salmon)
Lineage: Eukaryota; Metazoa; Chordata; Actinopteri; Salmoniformes; Salmonidae
Exons: 4
Source: RefSeq, a predicted model, not a curated record